AAUGCAUGUGCUGCCAGGUUCAGCUUCUUUAUUUUUAGCUGCAAAAGUAGUAUGUUCAUGUCACAAACAUAGAAGAGAGGGCAGAAGCCCCUCCCAUCUCAUCUGCCCCACACUCUCUUGCUUUUCUCCUGCUGUUUGCAUCUGGAUAGAAAAACAACUACAUGAUAGUUUUGGACUCUGAGAUAGGGUCUUACUCUGGAGCUCCUGCUAAUGUUUGUGAUCUCCCUGCUACUGCAGCCACCGAACACCAAAUUACAGACACGUAUUGAGUCUGGCUCGCACGAAACUUCUUAAGAACCAGGCUAGGGAGGUAGUUCAGUGGGCAAAUCACCUGCUGAGUGAGCUUGGUGACCUGAGUUUGGAGUCCCAGCACCCACAUAAAAGCUGGUCUGCUCAGCCUGUGGAUCAGGAGGCAACCCCAGUGCUGGGGCAAGGGGCACACAGGCAGGUGGAUCCCUGGAGAUCACAGACCGGCCACUGAGCUCAGUGUCACUGUACCUCAGGUUCAGAUGAAGACCACGUCUCAGAGAACAAGAUACCUGAAGAGAACACUGAAUGUCGGUCAUGCAUGUAUACUUGUUUGUACACGUGUGCACAUCCACAUGUGUACAUACAUUACACUACACUACACACACACACACACACACACACACACACACACACACACACACCACCAGCAAAAGCUCAAACCCAUCAAAGCAUAAAGCGAAGGUGAAUAGAGGAACAGAGAAAGAAGCAUAGUAAGUGUUGUAACAGGAACUAGUAAUGAACGAGCACUUAUAGGAGUCCCUGAGCCAGAUACUGUGAUGGCACACAAAACACUUAAAAGAUAUCCAUUGUUCUCACUGAGGGACACUGGAAAUGUCUGGGAGCGUCUAUCACCUUCUGUCCUCUGCCAUAGGUACUUGGAACCCUACUUUUUCUUGCAUUUCCACCCCUCCUCCCCUCUUAAGGCCUGAAAGGGAGAUGCGUUAUCAAGGAGCAUUUCAUAUGCACAUGUCUUGUUGUUUUUUCAAAGCUGAAAUCUCAGUGUGGAGAGCCUGAACCAGAGGCUGGCACAUGAUGAAUGAUGACCACUCGUCCCCCACUUCCUUGCAGGCAAGGAGGCCGGGCUGGAGACAAUGCUGGGGAGCUUCAGAACUGGCCUGGUCCUGCUCUCUGGUCCUGUCUGCACUGCAAAGGCACAAUCUGAAGAUUUAAGGAAUCAGUUCCUGUUUGGCUGGUCCUGGCUGACCCCAACAUCAACUCCCUUGACUGGAAAUAAACAGGAUCUUCCUUUGUGUCCCCGGGAAUGCAACAGAGGAAGAACUCCAAAGGGAAAGGGUCUUUUCUGCCAAGGACUAUCAGCAAGGGUGACAGUGGAAGCUCAGCCUUGGCCUCUUCCUCCAGCGUGGCAAGGGGAGGUGCCCUUGUGUGUGCUGACCCUUCUUGCUCUCCCCACAAGCCCCAUUAGAGACCAGAAUCACAGACCCAGAGGUCCCAGUUGUGCCUGGUUUUGAUUUAUAUUCUCUGGGUCUCAUGUGUGCAUCUACACAUACUGGGCUACACACCUUCAUGGGGGCUCAGAAAACAUAAUCACAGUGACAGCAUCUCUUAUUGACACAGGAUAACAAAUGUCCCUGGGCAAGCUGGACUAUUUAUCCUGAAGGGUGUAUGUUACCUGAGAAUGUCCCCAGUGAGGCUAGGGAAUGAAAUGGAGCCUGUGGCUCUCAUUAUAGAACAGGUUGAUGAGAUUCAAGAGGAACCCCAAUACUUGCACGAGCCUCCCCUUCCUUUCAGUGCUCCUGGGGCCGGAGUGGAGUUGGCCCAUCCAGAAGCCUCAACAAGGCUCCUGCUCCUUGUUCAUUCUUAUAAAUCCUUCCAUUCCGGCCCCUGUUUACCCUCUUCCCUGCAAAGAGGAGGACUACUUUACUUACAAUUUUUUUUGUUUAGUCAGAGGGAAGCAGAAAGGUGUCUCCCUCUCCCAUCUCCAUCUUCUUGGGUAGGAAGAUAAGAUCUAGUGUUCCUUCAUCUCCACUCCUUUCCUCUUCCUCCUCGUCUUCUCCCCCAUUGUUCUGUUCUUUAGACCAACGCCCAGAAGCUGACAGGCAAGUGCAGAGGAUAGCUCCCUAGUUUCAGCUUGAGCCUUCUGACAGCAACCCCCAGGGAAACUACUAACAGGAGAGCUUGAAUGCUUGGGUCCUCCUAAAGUUCAUGUUAAAACCUUAACCCUUUGAGUAUUUGAAGCUGAGGUCUUUAGGAGGUGAUGGGUCACCAGAGGGGCCCUUGCGAUGGGAUUAGUGUCCUUACUGAUCCCCCUUCCAAUGGCUAGCUUGUCCCUCACAGGGCACAGGGAGAUGUAGCUGCUGGUAAGACAGCGAGUGGGCUCUCACCACACAUAGAAUCUGCUGGCACCUGAUCUCGGACUCCUCAGCCUCUAGAACUAUGAGGAAUUCCCAGCUGUUAACUUGGGUUUAUGGUACUCUGCGGUAGCAGCCGGAACCACCCCAGACAUUCACUCUGAUCAAGAACUUUCUGCAGAUCCCUACAGUAUACACUAAACCCUCCAUCCGAUGGAGCUAUCCUGAGGCAGAAAACCCAAGUGGACAAUGGAUUGGAUAGCCUGGACUCUGCACUGAAUGUAGGAGGGGGCAGCUGUCCUGGGGGCACCAGGCCUUGGGAGUCUCCUUUUCACCCCCCUUCUCUCUGGAAAGCUUUUUUGUUGUUGCCCGUCACUUGAAGCGUUUCCAGGAACCACCUAAAGUAAAUAGUCUGACUGCGUUUCCACGACUCCACUUGGCUGCAGCCACUCUUCCUAUGGGACAAGUGUAAAAGAGAGGGGCAGGCAGGCAGCCUCCAGAAACCUCUGGAUGCACAACAGCAGGCUGCCAUCCUAGCCUGUCUGUCUAGCGAUGUGCUAGGAGCAGGACUGUCUGGAAGAGCAGGACUGUCUGGCAGAGCAAAAUUCUGACCACAAUCACAGCUGUCAUCAUUGGAGGCAUAGCCAGUGGCUUCUAAGUGCUGCUUAGACACAGAGACAAUGACAGCCAAAGUCUCGUGACCAUUCUCCUGUAUGGAGGUGGCAGCCACAAUUAUCUGUGGUCCUGCCAAGCUACAGUACCUGCCCUGAAAGUGAGACCAGGACUCUGCCUUUCCUUAUCUAGUUGAGUGAUGUUGGCAUCCAUCUAUAAAGAGAGCAGAACAGCCAAGUCAGGGCAGGGACUCAGAAAGUGGCACUCCACAGUCCAGGGCUCUGGCAGGAUGAGCAUUUAGAAUGAAAGGGGAAAGGGUGGGAGCACAGUGAGAUGGUUAAGCUGGUAAAGGUGACCACUGUCAAGCCCAAGGGCCUGAGUUAGUUCUCCUGGACCUGCUUGGUAGGAGAGAUCCAACUUUCGAAAGCUGUCAUCCACCUCUUCAAGUGCGAACAUGUAUAUAUGUUAUAAUGGACACACACACAAUGUAAUAAUAAUUAUGGGGAAGGGAAGGUCCCAGCUCAGCCUCAGAAGCAGUCUCUUCCUGUCUCCUGCUCUUCUGUCUCCAGCACCGUCUCUCUCUAGAAAUGAGUCAUAGAAGCCAAGACUCCUCAUCCCCAAGGUGGAUCCUGGGAACCUGACCCCCUCUCCCUCAGAGCAAGACUUACAUCCUAGAGAUCCUACUUGAAGCUGUCUUUCUGGGUGGGAGCUGGUCGCAAAGAAAUCAAGUUGCCUUGUAUGAUGGAGAGUCCUUAGAUCCUGAUCCCAGAAGAGUCCCAGUGGGCUCCCUGGGGGAGGGAUGCUCUCCUGCCCUCUCCCUUUAAUGUUUACACACUCAAUAGUGCACCCUUUUGUCCGUCAUAUUCCUGUUCAGCUAACUCAGCUUCAUCCAGUCUGAGCUGUAUCUUUGUGCGAGCGCACGCGAGCGCACACACACACGAACAUACAUGAAUACAUACACAUGCACACACACACACAUGAACAUACAUGAAUGCAUACACAUGCACACACACAUGCACACACAUGCACACACGAACAUACAUGAAUACAUACACAUACACACACACACACGAAUACACAUGAACACACACACAUACCAACAUAUACAUACACACACAUACACACACACAUGAACACACACACACGCACACACACACACACACACACACACACACACACACACACACACGGACAUACACACUAUUUUCUUCUCAGAGACACAGUCUUGUUAUGUAGCCCCGUCGGGCCUCCAGUUUGAGAUACCGCCUCAGCCCCUCAAGUGCUGUCAUUACAGGCCUGUGGUUUCCCAUCCACCACACCUUCAUUUCUGAAGGCUCCCCUACCAUGGAAAACUUGGAUUAAAUGUGUUUUUCUCUUGCUAA
Molecule: long non-coding RNA, 4333 nt
Organism: Mus musculus (house mouse)
Lineage: Eukaryota; Metazoa; Chordata; Mammalia; Rodentia; Muridae
Product: predicted gene, 41106
Exons: 2
Source: RefSeq, a predicted model, not a curated record